AGAACGAACGCUGGCGGCAUGCCUAACACAUGCAAGUCGAACGCUCACCGGGCUUCGGUUCGGUGGGAGUGGCGCACGGGUGAGUAGCGCGUGGGAACCUGCCCUGUUGGUGGGGAUAACCGAGGGAAACUUCGGCUAAUACCGCAUGCGGCCCGGGGAAACCCGGGGAAAGAUUUAUCGCAGCAGGAGGGGCCCGCGUCGGAUUAGGUAGUUGGUAGGGUAACGGCCUACCAAGCCUUUGAUCCGUAGCUGGUCUGAGAGGAUGAUCAGCCACACUGGGACUGAGACACGGCCCAGACUCCUACGGGAGGCAGCAGUGGGAAUAUUGGACAAUGGGCGCAAGCCUGAUCCAGCAAUGCCGCGUGAGUGAUGAAGGCCUUAGGGUUGUAAAGCUCUUUCGCCGCGACGAUGAUGACGGUAGCGGGAGAAGAAGCCCCGGCUAACUUCGUGCCAGCAGCCGC
This 461-nucleotide ribosomal RNA is filed under the name uncultured bacterium. Its description in RNAcentral is "SSU rRNA". It matches the Rfam family "Bacterial small subunit ribosomal RNA", at positions 26 to 518 of the family's 1533-position model. The record is from RNAcentral.